UCACAACCAGGCAGCUGUCCAGGGACCAGGAAUAAUGAGACUCCACCCCCUUCCUUUGGGGACCUGGAGGCCAGAGUCCUUCCCUGCCCUGUCUUCCUUCCCCCAGUGCUCCCUCUGUGGGGAACCCUCCCUAAGUAGUGAGCAUCCAAAAAUGGUUCCGGAGACUGGAAGAAGGGGUUGCCUCCGGGAGAGGCCUGCAUACACUCUUUCCCCACCGUGCUUCUCAGCCCUGGGAUCUAGCCGGGAUCCUGAGCCAGGCUAUGGGAACGCGUCAUUCAUGCUGGUUAUUAUUGCUGUUACUGUUACCUCGAAGAACCCCCGGAGAAGGAUGGUGCUAACAAACUCACCGUCUCCUCAGCUCUGCUCCACGGCUGUGUCCACCCCCCCCCCAUCUCUCCAUGCCUGGACACAUGCCUGCACCUUCCAACUGCUCUUCCAUGGCUCAUCCUGGCCUCUGCUUCUGCUGCUUCGUUCACUUGGUGCCCACCCUCUGGUCUCUACCAAUCAAUCACCCCUCAGCUUUCAGGAUUCCACGUCCCCAGGAAAACUUUUCUCAGGGCCCCCGAGAAGCUCUAAGAGUGGUGCUUUUGCUUCUCGAAUUGGUGGCACUUAUGUAUCGGAGCAUGUGUGUGUUUGGUAAACCAAUGAAUGAAAGUGACCUUGGGCAAAAUAUUUCCUUUCUGGGACUCAGUUUCCUCCCUUUAAAUCAAGGGCCUCAAACUCAGUGGGCCAUGUACUGAAGGGCCAGUCAUUCUCUGGGCAACUAGCUAGGGCUGCCAAAGCAGGAGUCUGAGCUUAGGGUUGCAGGCAUGGGGAGGAAUAAGAGCCCCUCACACUAGCAGUGCAUGGGGAACUGCUUUUUUCAGACAGG
This 871-nucleotide long non-coding RNA is filed under the name Cricetulus griseus (Chinese hamster). RNAcentral's name for it is "lncRNA (ENSCGRG00015039853.1)". Lineage: Eukaryota; Metazoa; Chordata; Mammalia; Rodentia; Cricetidae. The record is from RNAcentral.